AAGACUAUACUUUCAGGGAUCAUUUCUGUAGUUCCUCACUGUAGAAGUUUCUAUAAAGUGGAGAGCACCAGAAACCAUGAAGAGGAGGCUCAGUGUUCUCUCCUGAACGUGAAGUUAGCUCUUGGUGCCGCUUCUUUCCUUUCCAGGGAAUAAGAGGGGGAGAAUGCCAACUCAGUGGU
This is a small nucleolar RNA of Oryctolagus cuniculus (rabbit), 179 nucleotides long. Its record names the gene U3. It matches the Rfam family "Small nucleolar RNA U3". From Rfam's summary of the family: Small nucleolar RNAs (snoRNAs) are involved in the processing and modification of rRNA in the nucleolus. There are two main classes of snoRNAs: the box C/D class, and the box H/ACA class. U3 snoRNA is a member of the box C/D class. The record is from Ensembl. NCBI's taxonomy places the organism in Eukaryota, Metazoa, Chordata, Mammalia, Lagomorpha, Leporidae.